This is a non-coding RNA of Dryococelus australis, 73 nucleotides long. The record is from the annotation of a GenBank genome assembly. Lineage: Eukaryota; Metazoa; Arthropoda; Insecta; Phasmatodea; Phasmatidae.
ACCUCCGUGGCGCAGUUGUGUACGUGACGGCUUGUUGCGCGAUAGGUUUCGUGUUCGAUUCCCGGCAUGGGUG